Molecule: ribosomal RNA, 464 nt
Filed under: uncultured bacterium
Lineage: Bacteria
Description: partial 16S ribosomal RNA
Rfam family: Bacterial small subunit ribosomal RNA
Source: RNAcentral
CUACGGGGUGCUGCAGUGGGGAAUAUUGCACAAUGGGCGCAAGCCUGAUGCAGCCACGCCGCGUGUAUGAAGAAGGCCUUCGGGUUGUAAAGUACUUUCAGCGGGGAGGAAGGGAGUAAAGUUAAUACCUUUGCUCAUUGACGUUACCCGCAGAAGAAGCACCGGCUAAGUCCGUGCCAGCAGCCGCGGUAAUACGGAGGGUGCAAGCGUUAAUCGGAAUUACUGGGCGUAAAGCGCACGCAGGCGGUUUGUUAAGUCAGAUGUGAAAUCCCCGGGCGCAACCUGGGAACUGCAUCUGAUACUGGCAAGCUUGAGUCUCGUAGAGGGGGGUAGAAUUCCAGGUGUAGCGGUGAAAUGCGUAGAGAUCUGGAGGAAUACCGGUGGCGAAGGCGGCCCCCUGGACGAAGACUGACGCUCAGGUGCGAAAGCGUGGGGAGCAAACAGGAUUAGAUACCCGUGUAGUC